UACAGAGGGUUCGAGCGUUAAUCGGAAUUACUGGGCGUAAAGCGCACGUAGGCGGCUUUGCAAGUCGGUUGUGAAAUCCCCGGGCUCAACCUGGGAACUGCAUCCGAGACUGCAUUGCUAGAGUAUGGGAGAGGAAAGCGGAAUUUCUGGUGUAGCAGUGAAAUGCGUAGAUAUCAGAAGGAACAUCAGUGGCGAAGGCGGCUUUCUGGACCAAUACUGACGAUCAGGUGCGAAAGCGUGGGGAGCAAACAGG
RNAcentral lists this ribosomal RNA (253 nucleotides) under uncultured bacterium. RNAcentral describes it as "partial 16S ribosomal RNA". It matches the Rfam family "Bacterial small subunit ribosomal RNA", at positions 524 to 776 of the family's 1533-position model. The record is from RNAcentral.